Molecule: ribosomal RNA, 592 nt
Filed under: Chlamydiaceae bacterium 13-1161_820 Vag
Lineage: Bacteria; Pseudomonadati; Chlamydiota; Chlamydiia; Chlamydiales; Chlamydiaceae
Description: bacterial LSU rRNA
Rfam family: Bacterial large subunit ribosomal RNA
Source: RNAcentral
UACAGACCAAGUUGAUAAGAGCUAUUGGUGGAUGCCUUGGCAUUGACAGGCGAAGAAGGACGCGAAUACCUGCGAAAAGCUCCGGCGAGCUGGUGAUAAGCAAAGACCCGGAGGUAUCCGAAUGGGGAAACCCGGUAGAAUAAUAGACUACCAUUGCAUACUGAAUACAUAGGUGUGCAAAGCGACACCUGCCGAACUGAAACAUCUUAGUAAGCAGAGGAAAAGAAAUCGAAGAGAUUCCCAGUGUAGCGGCGAGCGAAAUGGGAGGAGCCUAAACCGAGCUGAAAAAGCGAGGGGUUGUAGGAUUGAGGAUAAAGGAUCAGGACUUCUAGUUGAACACAUCUGGAAAGGUGGACGAGACAGGGUGAUAGUCCCGUAAACGAAAGGAGAGAAAGACCGACCUCAACACCUGAGUAGGACUAGACACGUGAAACCUAGUUUGAAUCUGGGGAGACCACUCUCCAAGGCUAAAUACUAGUCAAUGACCGAUAGUGAACCAGUACUGUGAAGGAAAGGCGAAAAGAACCCUUGUUAAGGGAGUGAAAUAGAACCUGAAACCAGUAGCUUACAAGCGGUCGAAGACCAAUGGCCC